CUCUUCCACUCGAUUUGUGACUGAUAACUUCAUUAAGCCCAAGAGUGUAAUAGUAAGAGAGACUGCUGCCUUAAAAGGUUCCUUGGCACUGUCUUUUCCAUGCAUGGAAGGACAUCUGGUAUGACCAUUGGAGAAGAAAGCAAGCAUGCUGUGCGCUGGGUGGCCUCAUCCCUACUGCCUUUGAACUGCUUGCUACAGGUUUUGGUGGCAAAACAGUAUCAGCUGAUGAUGAUAUGGCAUGACAUGGAUGCCCACUGGACACGGGCUGCAUCAGAUGGCUUAUUUCACGUGGUGUAUCAGUUAUGCUCCAGCUCUGGACUUACUGUUCUCCACGGAUUGAACACAGAGAGGAUUCAGACUCUAACACCAACAGAGCGUACCUUUUCUUGUCUCUGGAUGUCAGUCUGACAGCAGAAUAAGGAGUGCUAACGUGAUGUCACUGAGUUUGAACAGCAGCAAAGCUGAGACCCAAAGACAGAAAUAUGCAGUCUGUCUCAGGACGUGCUGAGACAUUCCCCUGCAGCUGUAUGAGCUAUCAGCUCAUCUCACUCUUUCACCAGAGACAACCUCUGAGAGGUAACUUUGCCUUCAGACUUCAGUCGUGUAUCGUCUGCUCUCAGCCAGUGUCAGAAGGCCCAGAGCUCUCUGCCUGUCUUCUGGGAGCAUCGAUCCACUCACCACAGCUCAGCACAACAUACGAAGCCUUUCCUUCCCUUGCACAUGUGUUCUCUCUCUCUUGAAGAAAAAAAGCAAAAAAAAAAAAAAGCAAAAAAAAAAAAAAGCUGUCAGUAUUUCAGAAGCUCUGAGCAGCAGAUCUUUGUGUACUUUAAUCCAUAAAUAAACAUUUCUUC
Phasianus colchicus (ring-necked pheasant) is the source of this 851-nucleotide non-coding RNA. The record is from RefSeq and is a predicted model, not a curated record. NCBI's taxonomy places the organism in Eukaryota, Metazoa, Chordata, Aves, Galliformes, Phasianidae.